Mirounga angustirostris (Northern elephant seal) is the source of this 320-nucleotide long non-coding RNA. RefSeq lists it as uncharacterized. The transcript has 3 exons. The record is from RefSeq and is a predicted model, not a curated record. NCBI's taxonomy places the organism in Eukaryota, Metazoa, Chordata, Mammalia, Carnivora, Phocidae.
CCUCAUCUCCUCGCAUAGCCAUCUUACCAUCUCACAGCACCUCAAGCAGAAGGCGAAGGCGACACAAUAAGAUGAGAAAACCGGACGUCAAGAGGUGAACACCUCGCCAAAGUUACAAGAUUGUGAAUGACAGAGGCAGAACUUGAAUCCAGCUCUGGCUACAGCCUGAGCCUUCAUCCUCUUGUUAUCUGCUGCCACCAUGUACAAGUUGUCCAUGAAGGCUGAUGCCAAGGCAGUUAGCCUGAACAUCAUGCUCUGGGGAACCAAAGGCUUAAAUUGUUAACUCCAAAGCAGGUAACAUGAAGAAAAUUCCAUUUGGG